RNAcentral lists this ribosomal RNA (1031 nucleotides) under human gut metagenome. RNAcentral's name for it is "bacterial SSU rRNA". It matches the Rfam family "Bacterial small subunit ribosomal RNA", at positions 395 to 1439 of the family's 1533-position model. The record is from RNAcentral.
CGCCGCGUGAGGGAUGGAGGCCUUCGGGUUGUAAACCUCUUUUUAUCGGGGAGCAAGCGAGAGUGAGUUUACCCGUUGAAUAAGCACCGGCUAACUACGUGCCAGCAGCCGCGGUAAUACGUAGGGUGCAAGCGUUAUCCGGAAUUAUUGGGCGUAAAGGGCUCGUAGGCGGUUCGUCGCGUCCGGUGUGAAAGUCCAUCGCUUAACGGUGGAUCCGCGCCGGGUACGGGCGGGCUGGAGUGCGGUAGGGGAGACUGGAAUUCCCGGUGUAACGGUGGAAUGUGUAGAUAUCGGGAAGAACACCAAUGGCGAAGGCAGGUCUCUGGGCCGUUACUGACGCUGAGGAGCGAAAGCGUGGGGAGCGAACAGGAUUAGAUACCCUGGUAGUCCACGCCGUAAACGGUGGAUGCUGGAUGUGGGGCCCGUUCCACGGGUUCCGUGUCGGAGCUAACGCGUUAAGCAUCCCGCCUGGGGAGUACGGCCGCAAGGCUAAAACUCAAAGAAAUUGACGGGGGCCCGCACAAGCGGCGGAGCAUGCGGAUUAAUUCGAUGCAACGCGAAGAACCUUACCUGGGCUUGACAUGUUCCCGACCGCUCCAGAGAUGGGGCUUCCCUUCGGGGCGGGUUCACAGGUGGUGCAUGGUCGUCGUCAGCUCGUGUCGUGAGAUGUUGGGUUAAGUCCCGCAACGAGCGCAACCCUCGCCCCGUGUUGCCAGCGGAUUAUGCCGGGAACUCACGGGGGACCGCCGGGGUUAACUCGGAGGAAGGGUGGGGAUGACGUCAGAUCAUCAUGCCCCUUUACGUCAGGGGCUCACGCAUGCUACAAUGGGCGGUACAACGGGAUGCGACGCGGCGACGCGAAGCGGAUCCCUGAAAAACCGUCUCAGUUCCGAUCGCAGUCUGCAACUCGACUGCGUGAAGGCNGAGUCGCUAGUAAUCGCGAAUCAGCAACGUCGCGGGUGAUGCGUUCCCGGGCCUGUACACACGCCCGUCAAGUCAUGAAAGUGGCAGCCCCGAAGCCGGUGCUAAAC